AAUCACUGUUGUAGGAGAUGACAGUGUUUCCAUAAUCGAUAAAACACACAGAAUGGUCAAAGUUGCCAUAUUGACAUUUAAGUUUUACUGAUUGAUUUACAAUGUCAACUCACUUCUAUCAGGCAAAAAAACAACUCAUCUAAUUUCAUCUCGAUAUGCUAAAGGGUCAUUAUAGAUUUCAGCUCAGUGACACCAAAAACAUUAUCAAGGACUGCAGCUUUAUAGUGGGACUGACUGCAUAUGGUAUGUUCUAGGCUGUAGAUGAGCUUUGCAUAUAGAGUGGGGAUGUAAGAUCCAAUCACAAGAGACAUGGUGACAAGUCUGAACAGGGCCCCAGCGAAAACAAACACAGUAGACAGACAGCUCUAGACAUCCUAAAAUUUUGGAUGAAGGUACUCAUGUCACAAUCCCACCUCUCCUGACACCAACUUUGCUUGCCAUCAUUAAAAAUGUGUCUCUUUCUCCUUGUCCACAUUAGUAGUUCAUGAAUUUCCUUGCUUCUGAUAAAAAAUGUAUUUAAAAACAUUCACGUGACACGUUGUUGUUAAAUUUGAUAUUGUCGACAUGAAUGUGUACAUCGUCUUAUAUAGUGACAUCUGGGCAAGGCCUCUGAGAUGAACAGAUGAGUGACAAACUCAGGAAACAACCUCAAGAUGUGGUUUCACAUCUGAAAGCCCUGAAUUUGUAACGACACAACAUUCAAACACAAAAAGCUUGAGACAAAAGCAAGAAAAAAGAAAAUCAACUGUUUAUGGAAUUUAAACAGUCUUAGUGAAGAAUACAAAAGUAAAACCAGGGUUGUGUUGAAAGCUUAUUCACUCCCAGUGCU
Sphaeramia orbicularis (orbiculate cardinalfish) is the source of this 829-nucleotide long non-coding RNA. RefSeq lists it as uncharacterized. The transcript is spliced from 2 exons. Lineage: Eukaryota; Metazoa; Chordata; Actinopteri; Kurtiformes; Apogonidae. The record is from RefSeq and is a predicted model, not a curated record.